UCAACCUCAAGCUAUGCUUGGUGAUGGGCGCCUGCCCCGCCUUCGCGCGCGGGCUCGCCUCAAAGACAUUGGCAGCGGUCUUGCCGGCUCCUUGCGCAGCACAUUUGCAAGAGGAGGCCCGGCGGAUCGGCGUCCAGCAAGUUACUUUUACA
Molecule: unclassified non-coding RNA, 152 nt
Filed under: Periconia neobrittanica
Lineage: Eukaryota; Fungi; Ascomycota; Dothideomycetes; Pleosporales; Periconiaceae
Description: partial internal transcribed spacer 2
Source: RNAcentral